CUCUUCGGAGGGAAGAGAGGGUGACUGAGCGGCGGACGGGUGAGUAACGCGUGGGCAACCUGCCUUACACAGGGGGAUAACAAUUAGAAAUGAUUGCUAAUACCGCAUAAGACCACGGCCUCGCAUGAGGGAGUGGUAAAAACUGAGGUGGUGUAAGAUGGGCCCGCGUCUGAUUAGGUAGUUGGUGGGGUAGAAGCCUACCAAGCCGACGAUCAGUAGCCGACCUGAGAGGGUGACCGGCCACAUUGGGACUGAGACACGGCCCAAACUCCUACGGGAGGCAGCAGUGGGGAAUAUUGCACAAUGGGGGAAACCCUGAUGCAGCGACGCCGCGUGAGUGAGGAAGUAUUUCGGUAUGUAAAGCUCUAUCAGCAGGGAAGAAAAUGACGGUACCUGACUAAGAAGCCCCGGCUAACUACGUGCCAGCAGCCGCGGUAAUACGUAGGGGGCAAGCGUUAUCCGGAUUUACUGGGUGUAAAGGGAGCGUAGACGGAAGCGCAAGUCUGAUGUGAAAAUCCGGGGCCCAACCCCGGAACUGCAUUGGAAACUGUGAUUCUAGAGUGUCGGAGAGGCAAGUGGAAUUCCUGGUGUAGCGGUGAAAUGCGUAGAUAUCAGGAGGAACACCAGUGGCGAAGGCGGCUUGCUGGACGAUGACUGACGUUGAGGCUCGAAAGCGUGGGGAGCAAACAGGAUUAGAUACCCUGGUAGUCCACGCCGUAAACGAUGACUACUAGGUG
RNAcentral lists this ribosomal RNA (737 nucleotides) under uncultured bacterium. Its description in RNAcentral is "bacterial SSU rRNA". It matches the Rfam family "Bacterial small subunit ribosomal RNA", at positions 73 to 822 of the family's 1533-position model. The record is from RNAcentral.